RNAcentral lists this ribosomal RNA (452 nucleotides) under uncultured bacterium. Its description in RNAcentral is "bacterial SSU rRNA". It matches the Rfam family "Bacterial small subunit ribosomal RNA", at positions 28 to 480 of the family's 1533-position model. The record is from RNAcentral.
GAUGAACGCUAGCGGCAGGCUUAACACAUGCAAGUCGAGGGGUAUGCCGAUUUAUCGGCAGAGACCGGCGCACGGGUGCGUAACGCGUAUGCAAUCUACCUUUCACAGAGGGAUAGCCCAGAGAAAUUUGGAUUAAUACCUCAUAGUAUAGCAGUUUCGCAUGAAACCACUAUUAAAGUUCCAACGGUAUAAGAUGAGCAUGCGUCCCAUUAGUUAGUUGGUAAGGUAACGGCUUACCAAGACAAUGAUGGGUAGGGGUCCUGAGAGGGAGAUCCCCCACACUGGUACUGAGACACGGACCAGACUCCUACGGGAGGCAGCAGUGAGGAAUAUUGGACAAUGGGCGGCAAGCCCUGAUCCAGCCAUGCCGCGUGCAGGAUGACGGUCCUAUGGAUUGUAAUCUGCUUUGUACAGGAAGAAACCCUUUCACGUGUGGAAGAUUGACGGUACUG